UACGUAGGGGGCAAGCGUUGUCCGGAAUCAUUGGGCGUAAAGAGCGUGUAGGCGGCUCGAUAAGUCUGCUGUGAAAUCCCUCGGCUCAACUGAGGAACUGCCUUUGAAACUGUCUGGCUUGAGGCCGGGAGAGGGUAGCGGAAUUCCCAGUGUAGCGGUGAAAUGCGUAGAUAUUGGGAGGAACACCAGUGGCGAAGGCGGCUCACUGGCCCGAUACUGACGCUGAGGCACGAAAGCGUGGGGAGCAAACAGG
RNAcentral lists this ribosomal RNA (253 nucleotides) under uncultured bacterium. RNAcentral describes it as "partial 16S ribosomal RNA". It matches the Rfam family "Bacterial small subunit ribosomal RNA", at positions 524 to 776 of the family's 1533-position model. The record is from RNAcentral.